This is a long non-coding RNA of Gallus gallus (chicken), 1031 nucleotides long. The record is from Ensembl. Lineage: Eukaryota; Metazoa; Chordata; Aves; Galliformes; Phasianidae.
CUCGUUGCCCCUCUCCCCCUCAGCAGUGUCUAGCCAAUGAUCUCAGCCGUGGCCUGCAAGGUUCACCCUGUCUGCACGAGGGAUCGUAAUUCAGCCUCCUGCUCACUCCUCCAAGCCUCUACUGCAUGCAGAGCGCCCGUGGUGACGGUAUGUGCCAGCUAUUCUUAGCAGCUUUGGGCUGCAGAGUGAGCUGUUUGCUUCAAACUCAUUUACGUAAGGCUUGGGCUAAUUAGAGCCCACAAAGUGACUUACAGUCCUCACCCUUCAGAGUGAGAUCUUUCACCUGCUACAAUGUGCAGCAGUGGCAAAGAGUGAGGAUCAUGAUUUACUCCAUCCAGCUAGCAAGAGAUGACAGCAAACUUUCAAACAUGGCUAAGUAUGCAACAGCAGUAGUAAUUACCUGGAAUAUGUCAGUAGGUGAACUGAUGAUUGACCUUGGCUCUAUGUGCUGUGCCACUUGGUCAAGAGCUGAAGUUUUCUGCCUUCUUGAACUGAGAAGCCCAGAAUUCGUGGAUAUCCAGGGGAGAGGAAGACUUGGAAGAUAUAAAUACAUUGGUAGCAGACAAACACUUAAACCUAUUGUCUCGCAUUUCAUACUUGGCCACAUAACCUGGGACAAUAGAACAGAAAGCCUUAAACACAGCUCUAGGCACUGUGUCAAGGUGUGCUGCUUCUGGUGCUUCUGGAUGGCACAUAUGGACAUCCGUGGGGCAUUUCCCACCUCCCUUAGGAAGCUUCCAGCCGCCCUCACACACGCUGCUGAAACAACCUGCACUGCAGUCCUCCCUCAAUUCUGUGCCCCAUUCAGAGCUGCCCACCUCAUCAUUGCCAUCAUUUCUGCUUGUGCCCAGCGUUACUGAGAGCUGCUGGGCAGGGCUCACCACAGGCCCUGUCUACGUGCUUCCACCGCGCCAACAGCCAUCAUCAAUCUCCUCGGCGCCGGGCAUUAGCAGGAUGCACACACCGCCCUCCUCAGUGGCACUACCCGGUGCUCCCCGCAACACCUGACAUCGCGCACAGCGACCCCGCAC